UAGGGAAUCUUCGGCAAUGGACGAAAGUCUGACCGAGCAACGCCGCGUGAGUGAAGAAGGUUUUCGGAUCGUAAAACUCUGUUGUUAGAGAAGAACAAGGACGUUAGUAACUGAACGUCCCCUGACGGUAUCUAACCAGAAAGCCACGGCUAACUACGUGCCAGCAGCCCCGGUAAUACGUAGGUGGCAAGCGUUGUCCGGAUUUAUUGGGCGUAAAGCGAGCGCAGGCGGUUUCUUAAGUCUGAUGUGAAAGCCCCCGGCUCAACCGGGGAGGGUCAUUGGAAACUGGGAGACUUGAGUGCAGAAGAGGAGAGUGGAAUUCCAUGUGUAGCGGUGAAAUGCGUAGAUAUAUGGAGGAACACCAGUGGCGAAGGCGGCUCUCUGGUCUGUAACUGACGCUGAGGCUCGAAAGCGUGGGGAGCAAACAGG
RNAcentral lists this ribosomal RNA (429 nucleotides) under Gemmatimonadota bacterium. RNAcentral's name for it is "Gemmatimonadetes bacterium partial 16S ribosomal RNA". It matches the Rfam family "Bacterial small subunit ribosomal RNA", at positions 355 to 776 of the family's 1533-position model. The record is from RNAcentral. Lineage: Bacteria; Pseudomonadati; Gemmatimonadota.